Molecule: ribosomal RNA, 497 nt
Filed under: uncultured bacterium
Lineage: Bacteria
Description: partial 16S ribosomal RNA
Rfam family: Bacterial small subunit ribosomal RNA
Source: RNAcentral
UAUGCACGCUGGCGGCGUGCCUAAUACAUGCAAGUCGAGCGAACGGACGAGAAGCUUGCUUCUCUGAUGUUAGCGGCGGACGGGUGAGUAACACGUGGAUAACCUACCUAUAAGACUGGGAUAACUUCGGGAAACCGGAGCUAAUACCGGAUAAUAUUUUGAACCGCAUGGUUCAAAAGUGAAAGACGGUCUUGCUGUCACGUAUAGAUGGAUCCGCGCUGCAUUAGCUAGUUGGUAAGGUAACGGCUUACCAAGGCAACGAUGCAUAGCCGACGUGAGAGGGUGAUCGGCCACCCGGGAACUGAACCACGGUCCAGACUCCUACGGGAGGCAGCAGUAGGGAACCUUCCGCAAUGGGCGAAAGCCUGACGUAGCAACGCCGCGUGAGUGAUGAAGGUCUUCGGCUCGUAAAACUCUGUUAUUAGGGAAGAACAUAUGUGUAAGUAACUGUGCACAUCUUGACGGUACCUAAUCAGAAAGCCACGGCUAACUACGUG